Molecule: transfer RNA, 76 nt
Filed under: Chloroflexus aurantiacus
Lineage: Bacteria; Bacillati; Chloroflexota; Chloroflexia; Chloroflexales; Chloroflexaceae
Also listed under: 12 other names
Description: tRNA-Arg
Rfam family: tRNA
About the family: Transfer RNA (tRNA) molecules are approximately 80 nucleotides in length. Their secondary structure includes four short double-helical elements and three loops (D, anti-codon, and T loops).
Source: RNAcentral
GGGGCUGUAGCUCAAUGGAUAGAGCACCGACCUUCUAAGUCGAUGGUUGCGCGUUCGAGUCGCGCCAGCCCCGCCA